Molecule: ribosomal RNA, 427 nt
Filed under: uncultured bacterium
Lineage: Bacteria
Description: bacterial SSU rRNA
Rfam family: Bacterial small subunit ribosomal RNA
Source: RNAcentral
UGGGGAAUUUUGGACAAUGGGCGCAAGCCUGAUCCAGCAAUGCCGCGUGCAGGAUGAAGGCCUUCGGGUUGUAAACUGCUUUUGUACGGAACGAAACGGUCUUUUCUAAUACAGAAGGCUUAUGACGGUACCGUAAGAAUAAGCACCGGCUAACUCCGUGCCAGCAGCCGCGGUAAUACGUAGGGUGCGAGCGUUAAUCGGAAUUACUGGGCGUAAAGCGUGCGCAGGCGGUUUUGUAAGACAGAGGUGAAAUCCCCGGGCUCAACCUGGGAAUUGCCUUUGUGACUGCAAGGCUUGAGUGCGGCAGAGGGGGAUGGAAUUCCGCGUGUAGCAGUGAAAUGCGUAGAUAUGCGGAGGAACACCGAUGGCGAAGGCAAUCCCCUGGGCCUGCACUGACGCUCAUGCACGAAAGCGUGGGGAGCAAACA